This is a long non-coding RNA of Suricata suricatta (meerkat), 1562 nucleotides long. RefSeq lists it as uncharacterized. The transcript is spliced from 7 exons. The record is from RefSeq and is a predicted model, not a curated record. NCBI's taxonomy places the organism in Eukaryota, Metazoa, Chordata, Mammalia, Carnivora, Herpestidae.
GCCUCCACCGUCGCCGCAGUCGGGACGAGCGGGGCUCCGCGAGGAGCUCCGGCGCCUGCUCUGCGUCCCCGAAGAGCUGCUGGAACCGAGUCUCGAGGCUAUCCCAGAAGUAGGGAAGGGUGAAGAUCCCUGUGGGCUGCACACUCUUGGGUCUGUGGCUUGAGAAGAAUCCCUUCCUGCUCACAAUGGGCACACCUUAUGACCUCACAGACCGGGAAAAGACAGAGACUCAACGCUGAAAAGGGCCACAGCCCCCAGCAUCCUCUCCACCUUCCCAUUCUCCCUCAGCAGAACAUGGAGGCCUCAGAAGGAAAGGAUCUGAGCCACUUGCUUGAUCCAGGCCUGGCUGACCGCAGGAUCUGCAGUCUGUAGGACAUAGCGCUGGAUCCCACCCUCUGGCCCUCUGGAGGUCAGUGCAAAUCGGCAAGGGUCACCUUGGAGGUUCCCCUCCAGUCCCAGGCAGCUCACCUGGAUUGGCAAAAUGGAGACAGCUCCCAAAUUCUUUAGGUCUUCUCUGGUUCCCGGCCCCUCCCAACAAAUCCAGCAGCCAGACAUUCCCUCAGAGGCCUCACUCUGUCCUAGGCACACCCCUCCCUUGUGGCCUCCUCCCCACCUUGAUGCUGCUCUUGUACACAUAUCCAGCCAGUGCUCCGCCUCGUACUCCUCCUCCCAGGGCCUCACUGAAGAUGACGAUUUGCUCAAAGAGGAAGACACGUCUCUCUCGACCCCGGGAAGAGAGCAGACCGCCAGCCUCAGGCUCUGUGACCCAGAAUGUGUCCUGGCCCAGGAGCUUCCCCUGAGCAGUCAGUUUGCCCUAGAACCAAAGGAUGGUGGCUUUGAGAAAAAAGCAAGAAGAGAAAAGGGACACUCUCUGUUCCUCCCUCCUUCCCCUGACACUCCCAACCAACCAUGAGCGCUUGGGUACAAAGCACAUGACCUCCACAGCUCGCUGGGUCGCAGGCGAAGAGAGGAGCAUUGUCAUUGUCAAGAAAGAGGCCUCUUCAGACCAUGUUUCAACUCUCAACCAGCCUCCCCCUGAAAACCAGAGAGCGCAAACCACCCAAGGAGCUGGGGGAAGCCAGGAGACUAAAAAACGUAAGAGUUCACUCAAGACAUACCUGGGAAGAGAACAGGAGUGCGCAUCGUUGAUAUAGUCAAUUCCUCCCUACUGGACUAGAAGCCCCUUCAUUACCACAGUCAACCUCAGAGGAAAUUCCAAGUGUCAAAUCCAAAACAAACGGGCCUGGGAUAGGGUCUCCUCCUCAGGUGGCUGGAAGGAAAGAACAUCCCAGAGUAAACCAAUGGAUGCCUUCUGGGGAGCUCUGCAGAUCCAUUUCUUCAUACCUGCGUCUUAUCUCCAGGGCCCUCCAACAAUGUGGUCAGCAGGGUCUGAGGUAGAUUCUCAGCAAAAGGACUUAAGAUGCAGUUCUAGGCCCAAGAGGAUUGUGGAUGGGUUUUUCUCAUACCCAGUUGACUACAAAACAGAGAGAAGAGUCUCCUGCCCCUUCCCCAAUUUCCUUAACUUGAACUGAUAAAAAUUUGGAGGCAGAUCUUGGACAUCA